Molecule: transfer RNA, 72 nt
Filed under: Candidatus Uhrbacteria bacterium RIFCSPHIGHO2_01_FULL_47_11
Lineage: Bacteria; Candidatus Uhriibacteriota
Also listed under: 5 other names
Description: tRNA-Arg
Rfam family: tRNA
About the family: Transfer RNA (tRNA) molecules are approximately 80 nucleotides in length. Their secondary structure includes four short double-helical elements and three loops (D, anti-codon, and T loops).
Source: RNAcentral
GCCCCCAUAGCUCAAUGGAUAGAGCAGUGCUCUUCUAAGGCAUUGAUGUACGUUCGACUCGUGCUGGGGGCA